CAGCCCCAUCAGCUAGCCCCACCCCAGAAGCAACCACCAACAUUUAUACCCACAAAUGUACUUUUUACCCAAAACAAAACAUUUUUUACCCGAGUAUAGGAGAUAGAAAAGGAAAAGAGAGCUAUAGAACAAGUACCGCAAGGGAAAACUGAAAGAGAAGUGAAAAAACCCAGUUAAGGCUAGAAAAGCAGAGCUAAACUCUCGUACCUUUUGCAUCAUGACUUAGCUAGCAUCCCCAAGCAAAAAGAAUUUUAGUUUGAUACCCCGAAACUAAGUGAGCUACUUCAAGACAGCUUUUUGAGCAAACCCGUCUCUGUGGCAAAAGAGUGGGAAGAUCUUCAAGUAGAGGUGAAAGACCUACCGAACCUAGUUAUAGCUGGUUGCCUAUGAAAAGAAUACAAGUUCCGCUUAUAAUCUUCUUUUUUUGUAUAAAGAUACCCCUUAAAGAAAUUAAAAGAAAAUUAUGAUGCAAAUUAAAGGGGGGACAGCCCCUUUAAUUAGAGAAACAACUCUGCCUGUCGGCUAAGGACCACAACAUCAAAGAAAGGA
This 549-nucleotide ribosomal RNA is filed under the name Neostethus bicornis. Its description in RNAcentral is "partial 16S large subunit ribosomal RNA". The stretch from base 186 to 549 matches the Rfam family "Bacterial large subunit ribosomal RNA", at positions 568 to 1065 of the family's 2925-position model. Lineage: Eukaryota; Metazoa; Chordata; Actinopteri; Atheriniformes; Phallostethidae. The record is from RNAcentral.